UGACUUGGUACUUUAAAAUAAAAGAUCUGAUUUGCAUUCAGGCAAUAAGUUAAUUAGACUUUCAGGUCAU
This 70-nucleotide transfer RNA is filed under the name Ocinebrellus falcatus. RNAcentral describes it as "tRNA-Ala". The record is from RNAcentral. Lineage: Eukaryota; Metazoa; Mollusca; Gastropoda; Neogastropoda; Muricidae.